Molecule: long non-coding RNA, 8120 nt
Filed under: Homo sapiens (human)
Lineage: Eukaryota; Metazoa; Chordata; Mammalia; Primates; Hominidae
Description: HSALNT0364746
Source: RNAcentral
AAAAGAAAAAAAAAGACACAUAGAUUGGAGGUAAAGGAAUGGAAAAUGUAUUCCAUGCAAAUGGAAACCAAAAGAACUGGGAUAGCUAUACUUAGGUAAAAUAGAUUUUAAGUAAUGUAUACAAGGAGACAAAGGUCAUUGUAUAAUGAUAAAGGGAUCAAUUCAAGAGGAUAUAACAAUUAUAAAUAUAUAUGCACUCAGCAUCAGAGCACCUAAAUAUAUAAAGCAAAGAUAUAAAGAUCUGAAGAGAUAAACUGCAAUACAAUAAUGGUAGGGUACCUCAAUACCCAUUUUCAACAAUGUACAGAUCAUGCAGACAGAAAAUCAAUAUGGAAAUGUUGGAAUUGAGCCACAGUUUAGACAAAUGGAUCUAACAUAUAUACAGAACAUUUCAUCCAAUAGCAACAGAAUACACAUUAUUUUCAAGCUCACACAGAGCUUUCUGCAGAAUAGAUCAUACAUUAAGCUACAAAAGAAAACUUAACAAAUUUAAGCAGGUUAAAGUCAUAUCCAGUAUCUUUCAACCACAGUGGUAUGAAAUUAGGAAUUAAUAAUAGGAAAAAUGUCAGAAAAUUCACAAUAUGUAGAAUUAAACCAAAUUCUCCUGUACAACCAGUGGGUCAAAGACAAAAGUAAAAGGGACAUUAAAAAUUGUCUUGAGACAAAUGAAAAUGGAAACACCACAUGCCAAAACUUGCGGGUAGCAGCCAAAGCAGUCCCAAGAGGAAGAUAAUAGCAAUAAACACCUAUAUCGAAAAAGAAGAAAGACUGUGAACCAUCUAACUUUAUAUCUUAGGGAACUAGAAAGAGAAGAAUAAAUUAAGGCCAAAGUUAGUAGGAGGAAGGAAAUAAUAAAGAUCAGAGCAGAAAUAAACACAAACUAGAAAAACAACAGAAAAGAACAAAACUAACAGUUGGUUUUUAAGAUAAAAUCAACAAACCUUGAUCUAAACUAAGAAAUGAGAGAAGGCUAAAAUAAAAUUAGAAAAUAAAGCAGAGACAUUAUACAUGAUACUACAGAUAUACCAAGGAUCUUACGAGAUUGCCAUGAACUUGCUAACAAAUUGGAUAACCUAGAAGAAAUGGAUGAAUUCCUAAAACCAUAGAAUCUAUAUGAGCCGUAUACUUUCUUAACAUUUCUGCCAUCCUCCCUAUCCUCUUUGGUAUAGCCUCUCUUCAGACUGCCUCCUUAGCUCUCUUCUGGAUCACUAUAACAGCCUAACAAUUGUAUCACCUUCAGUUUUGCUCUUCCUUCCAUAUGACUAAAUAAAUGAAAAAUUUGAUCAGACAUUAACGAGUAGGGAGAGUGAAUUGGUAAUAAAAGGUCCACUUAUUUUGUCUUACAGUGAGAGUGGCUUGCUAUUAUCUCCCAUUAUUGAUGCAUUUCUAUCUUUGUCUUCCUGCAUCCCCUGCAGUUUUUGCUUCAUAAGAAUGUUUGCAGUGUUAUUUGGUACCAUACAUAUUCAUGUUAGGUCUUUAUUGUGAAUUACAGAUUUUAGAAUUAAAAAGGAGAUUUGGGCCGGGCACAGUGGCUCACGCCUGUAAUCCCAACACUUUGGGAGGCCGAGGUGGGCAGAUCACCUGAAGUCAGGAGUUUGAGACCAGCCUGCCCAGCAUGGUGAAACCCCGUCUCUACUAAAAAAAAAUACCAAAAAUUAGCCAAGUGUGGUGUCAGGCGCCAUAAUCCCAGCUACUCAGGAGGUUAAGGCAGGAGAAUCACUUGAACCUGAGAGACGGAGGUUGUGGUAAGCCAAGAUCGCCCCAUUGUACUUUAGCCUGGACAACAAGAACGACUCUGUCCCAAAAAAAAAAAAAAAAAAGAGAUUUGAGGGUCAUAUUUAUAUUUUUUUGGCUUGGAUUCUACGUUGCCUAGUAUCAGGAUCACCUCCCCUAUUUUCUUAUUGUUCUCAUUUCCCCUAUAUUUCAUUGUCCAUCCCAUUAUUUUUAGUCUUCUUACAUCACUUUGUUUCUUGUAUACAGUAUACUGUUGGUUCUAGCUUUGUAAGACAAAUUGAAAUAAGCUGAAUAGGUGAGUCAAGCCCACUCAUCAUUCAUAUGACUGAGUGUUUGGUUUGAAGCCUGUCAUAAAAUUGUAUUGUUAUAUUUGCUAUAUUUAUUUUCUGUGCAAUGUGUACUAUUUGUCAUUUUAUGAAAAUGUUUUACUGAUAGUUAAGAAUUUUUAUUCUAGUGGUUAUCUUUGUAUUUAUACUUUAUUCUCCAUUUUCUUAUUUAAGAUUUACUAUCUAGUUUGUCAGGUUUUAAUGCCUGUAAUUCACACUUAUUGCCUAUACAGCGAUCAAUGAUUUUAAUCUCACGUCUUUUUGCUCCCAUUUUUUAGUUGUUUUAUUUCUACCUGAUUGCAACAUAUAAUGUUUGUGUAUUGGUUUUGCACUCGAAUUCCUACUGUUGGUUUAGUCUGAAAGCUACUAUUAAAUAUAGUAAAUAUUGUAAUUUUAUUUUGCUGAAGUUUUUCAGUCAUCUCUUGUUGAAUGAAGCUCAUUCAUUAGUAGAUCUUCAUGAGUGGCUCAGGGGUACAUAAUUGUCUAAGUUAUGUGUUUGAAGCUGUUUUUCUAUUAUAGUGUUUUAUACUGAAGGACAGCUUGACUGAAUAUAAAAUCUUGGUUCACACUUUCAGUUUUUUGAAAAUUUAUUGUCUUGCUUUAUAUAUAUUUUUUGAGAAAUCUGAUACCAGUCUAAUUAUUUUGCCCUUGUAAAUUAUUUGAUCACGUAUCCCUGAAUCCUCGAGGAUUAAAAAAUUUUUUUCGGCCUGGCUCGGUGGCUCACGCCUGUAAUUCCAGCACUUUGGGAGGCUGAGGCGGGCAGAUCACGAGGUCAGGAGAUCAAGGCCAUCCUGGCUAACAUGGUGAAACCCCAUCUCUACUAAAAAUACAAAAAAUUAGCCUGGUGUGGUGGUGGGCGCCUGUAGUCCUGGCUACUCGGGAGGCUGAGGCAGGAGAAUGGCGUGAACCCGGGAGGCAGAGCUUGCAGUGAGCCGAGAGUGCGCCACUGCACUCCAGCCUGGGCAACAGAGCGAGACUCCGUCUCAAAAAAAAAAAAAGAAAAAAAGAAAAAUUUUUUUUUCAAGUUUAAAUAGUUUUACUGAGAUGUGUCUUGGAGUUAACAUUCAAAGUUUACUUUUCCAGUUAACUGGAAAUCCCUUUCAAAAUGUAGAUUCAGAUCCUUUUUAUUUCUGAUAAUUUUUCAUGGAUUAUAAUGUUAAAUAUUCUGUUCCAUUGUUUUUUAUUUCUUCUUCAGGGGUUCCAAUUAUAUGUGAGUUAUUUAUCUUUUGUUCAACUUUCUCUUUCUGACCAUUUUUCCUUCUUUUCUGUAUCGUAUUUAUUUGUUUAUUUUUGCAUCUAUCCAGUGUCUAAGUUUUCAUUAGUCUGUUUUCCUUUGGACACCUUGUAAUUUAGUCUUCAUUUAUAAUUCCCCCCCUUCCAUUUCUUUCUUGAAUUCAAUAAUCUUUAAAUUUACUCGUGGUUUUUUUAAUCUAUUUCUGUUUUUUAUAUUUUGAAUUUCCAAUUCACGGUGCUUUUUCAUAUCCCCAAAUGCUUAUCUGAGGAUUUUAUUCAGUUUGAUAUGUUGUGUUACAAUUUUCUUCUGAUUUAAUGGUUGCUUUUUGGUAGAGAAUUUUCAUCAGCCAAUGCAUGUUAAUUAUUGUUUGCUGAUUUCUCAUACUACCAUUAUAUAGAUUUAGUCCAUUUCCUUCCAUUCAUUUUUUUGAAUUUGAGGGGUUAUAAGAUUCCUAGUUCAGAAGGACUCUCUCUGUCAGCAUAGAAAAUACAAUUUCUUUAGGGGGUGUUUUUUUUAACUUUAUAGUAGAGGGAGGGAUUAUGUAUGUUCCAGUUUUUUGUUUUUUGUUUUUGUCUUGCAGGACCCUGAAUUUCUCCUGUUGCUUCUUUUCCCCUUCACCAUCCAGUUGCCAAAAGGCACCUUGCCUAUUCUUUUUGCUCUCUCCACUCCCUGAAGCUAUCCUGUAAUAAGUGUUGUGAUACUAAGAUACUUUAUAUUUUUGCACCUAGGAUAGAAUUUCUAUCUCUGCUGGUGAUUUUAGACCAAUUUUAGGCCUGCCACUAGAUCCGUUUUUCUUUAUUCUGUAUGUUCUUCUUUGGCCUGCCCUUGCUUGCUACAAAGGCUUAUGGUAGAAAUGUGAAAGAUCACUCACUUGGAUUUGGUGCUUUUAAUUUUUUUACUUAUAAGUAUUUGACAUUUGGCUAUAUUUUUCUUCUUGUUAGGCUGAGGGUGUAUUUUGUAUAGAUUUAUUUAUUCUUCUUGUUCUGUAUCGUUUAUGACGGACAUAGGUAGCUGCCAUUUUAUUUUAUUACCGCGAAGUCCUCACCUAUUCACUCUUAAAUCUACCUCAUUGAAGACUUCAAUAACUAUUUGUUGUUGGAAGCCAUAAUGAAACUGUUGAUCAAAUUACCCAAUCCAAAUCAAAUUAACCAAAAAGACUUUCUUCAGUCUUCAUAUUAAUUACCUUCCCUGCAGAACAGAACAUGGUUGCCCAUUAUGUGAAAUUCCUUUUACUUCUUUGGUGGUCCUGUCUGUUUUCUUAUGCCUAAUUGUUGCUUACGGUAUACUUGCUGUUUGUUUGUUUGUUUGUUUGUUUCUUUUAUACACUCAUUAAGUGAGUUCUCCAUCUAAAUAUCCCAUAAGGCACUUCAGAAUCAACAUAUCCAAAAGGAAACAUAUUUUACUCAUCUCCAAAUCUUUUGUUUCUCCAGCAAUUCAAGUUUUGGUGAAUGAAGCUAUGAACAAUCCAGUAAUCCAAACCAGAAACUUGAGAGUCAUCUUUUUUACACCUCCCACUUUGCAUCUCUCACAUUGAAUAAGCAAUCAUGCCCUGAGCCAUAUACUUUCUUAGCAUCUCUGCCAUCCUCCCUAUCCUCUUUGGUAUGGCCUCUCUUCAGACUGCCUCCUUAGCUCUCUUCUGGAUCACUAUAACAGCCUAACAAUUGUAUCACCUUCAGUUUUGCUCUUUCUUCCAUAUGACUAUCAGAAUUAUUUCUCUGGAAGAUCAUGUCAAUCACUCCUUCUCAGUGGUUCUUCAUUGCCUAUAGGAAGAAAUCCAAACUCCGUAGCAUGAGAGAAAUGUUUUUCAUAAUGACUUUAUCCUGCCUUUCUAUUGUUUCUUUCAUAUCAUGCCCAGCUCAGCCCCCCAUUCAAUGAAAAUCAUACUAAACUACUUUAAUUCCACUAACAUGUUGUGCUAGUUAAGCCUCUUUACCUUUGUUCAUGCUGUUUUUACUCAGACCACUCCAUUCCACAACAUACACUUGGGGGAUACCUACUAAUUUUGAAGACCCCCUUCAGCCCUGAUGUUAACCUUCUUUGUGGAAUCAUUAUUGACAUGAUGGAUAGAAUUGGUCAGAUGCUUCCUUGUUCAUCAGUUGUACUAGGCACAGCAUUCUAAUGUAGCACCUAUUACACAUUUUAAAAUUUGUUUACAUGUCUCCCCUCAUGUAAGUUUGUAGGACUGGUACCUGAAAUAUACUAGGCUUACCUUACUGACAUUUUGAAAUAUAAGAUAGCUUUCCAAGGCUUGCUUUUGCCUCCUGAUUCAGGACUCUACCAUUGGCAUCAUCAGGAAGAAUUUCUAAUAGUAUUAUUGAUCAGAGUCUUCUGGAAGUUUCUGCAGGUUACACAUCAACUUACUUUUCCCUGACAAAAUAAUUCUGCAUCUAGAAACACAAACAAGUAGUCAAAGAAGUUAUAUUGGAACUAAGAGAUGAAUUACCAAAGGAAAACUGAAAUCAAGAAACAUUUGAUGAAAUUCAGGCAAUGUCUUCAGGUGCCAGAGGACACAGAAAUGUCCCGAGAACCAUUCACAUGAUCUUAAAGAAACUUCUGCUGGUUGUCUUGUACCUUUGAAGCAGGUGUGAUUGAGAUGGAUACCUUAAUUUUUUUAAAGUAAAAAUUGUUCAUUCUCUUAUGUACUUUAGCAUACUGGUAUUCUUAUCAAAAUAUGAAACAGCAUCAAGUUUAAUAUUAAUUAUAAAACACAUGGUAUAUUUAUAUUUCUGCUCUUUAUUUUCUAAAGUUAACUCAGUUAACUCUCCAUAUAGGUAUUUGGACAUGGGCUGUAACCACUUUUUAGAACAAAUACUGUGAAGAUUGUUUUAUUACAUGACAUUUUAUGAUGUGAGAUUAACACCUUUGUGUUAGUAAACAUCCUAGAUUGUUCACUUCAAUAUAGAUUUUUAAAAUGUAUAGUUAUACUUGUGCAGGAUACUAGAAAAUGAAAAUGACUGUUCACACAUGCUUUAUUAUUCAGUAAUUUUACAAGAAAAUAUUACUGUUUGAAAGAAAAUCAUGCAUGCCUAAAACUGAUUCUGUUCCAGUUUUAUAAGUUAGUAUACUAAUUUUAAGACAUUGUGUAUAUUUCCUUCACUUAAUUUCUAUUUUCUACUGCAUUUCUACCAAUAUAAAAAACAAAGAAUUCAGUUGGUUCCUUUCUAGAGGGAAAAUUUGUUGUGAGUAUAGUACUGGGCAUCACAUGCUGCUUCCCUUUGUGGCUUUGAAUAAACCCUUAUUUUCUUGUCCAUUUUGUCUCAAAGAAUUUUAAAUGGCAUUGUCUAAACUCAGGAGUAUUGUGUGGAUUGAUUAGUAUGAGAAGUUUCUUUCAUGGUAAGUAUAGAGUUUAAGUAUAUAAAAUCAACUCUUGGUCAUAUAUGUAAAACACAAUUGAGAAGUAAAACUUGCCAUCAACUCUUGGUUAUAUACAAAAAAAUUGAGAAGUAAAACUUGCCAUACAUAUUAGUACAAGUAAUUAAAAACGGAUUAUAGCUUGAAAGGCAUUAGAUCUCACAUUAUUUACAUUCUCACUCCUUUUAGCUCCUUUGCUUUUUUGUUCUCUUGUUUGCAAAGAUUAAAAAUAAUGUUCCUGGCAUUUUAAUGGAACAUUACCAAAUGUACAUUCAUGUGUAUUGAUCAAAGACCAACUUUCAUUAGUGAAAAAAUCUAAUUUUUUCUAGACCAAUUAAAAGGAUAAAAUUCUCUUAUUUGAAUAAUAAGAGAAUUAAAGAGUUUAUUAAGCAAAAACAGUUGCUGAAAAAGCGUAGCAAAGACUGACUAGACUGGCUAGAAUUUCCUCUUCUUCCAGGACAGAUGGUUCUACGACAUUUUAAGCCUUCUUUGUAAUGGCCGAGUGACUGGGUUCUAGCUAGUGGAAUGUGAGUGGAAGCCUUUUACCUCAGAAAAGACACACAAUUCUGCAUGCCCUUUCCCCUUCUGUGGCAUGGUGCAAACAUGCAUGGUGACUUUGGAAGCCACAUUUUGACGAUGGUGGAGCCGCAAGAUGAAAAGAGCCUAGGUUCCUGAAUCACCAGGUGGAGGAAUAUUGCCAAUCCAUCAGUAAUGUAUUUUGUACUUUAUCAGAGCAAUAAAUAAAAUUCUCUACUUUUAGAGCCAUUAUACAUUUUUUUUUUUUAUUUUCAUUGCAGUUGUCGCCUGAACCUAUAUAGAAAUUGGUACCUUGAAAAGUGGAGGUUUCUGAACAAAAAAACCUUUAAGUUUUGCAGACUGUUCAAGAAGAAUGGUGCCAGCAUCUGCAUCAGGUGAUGGCUUCAAGUUAAAGAAAGAAGGUUCAUGGAAGAAGGUGAAGGGGAGCCAAGCUGGCUGUGUACAGAUAGCACAUAACCAGAAAGGAAGCAAGAGAUUAAUACCCACUGGGGUCACCACCAGAAGAAACCAGAGAAUGAAAACAGCACCUACUAAUGCCAGGAAGGCAGAGCCCAAAUAAGAAAACACUCCAUGUGGAGUGAAAGCUGCAGGAUGCUCUUUUUACCUCCCAUCUAUGUGAUUUGGUCAGCCUUACAAACCCAGAACCAUUGCACCUGUCACUAUGACUACAUGACUACGAUUACUCCCAUUUCACAGGGGAAGAGAGCUGAAUUAUCUUGGAGCUUCUCCUUUGAUAUAGCAGUUGUACAGGAACCUCAGUCAACUGGCCUGUUGUGCAGAAAGUUCUCAAGCCUGGUGCCAAGAGUACUGGGAACCACGAAUUCCCUUCUCGCCCCUGCGUCUUUGAAGCUGACCCCUGGAAGAGCAGAAAUCCUUGGCUCGGGUUCUGGAGUGGAUGGGAGACAGUUUACUGAUAAACUUAUUAAAAAUUUUGAAGA